CCUUCCGGUGAGCUUUCGAGCUUAAACGGACGCGGUAAAUCGUGCAAAGGUAGCUAAAUUACGGCCUAUUAAUUGUAGGUCCUGUGAAUGGUUUGACGAGCCUCCGACUGUCUCUAAUCUGUUUUGGUGAACUUGAAUUGGAUGUGCAAAUGCUUCCUUGAAAAAGAAAGACGAGAAGACCCCGUGAAGCUAGAAAUUUAAGCUGCAGGCGUUAAGUUCUCAGGCCCAUGGGGUCGAUUUUUGAAGUAGUUUCAGAGUGAGUCAAUGUGGUGAUGGUUUUGGCUGGGGCAGCAAAAGAGCAAGAUAAGACUCUUUUAGGAAAAAAGCGGAUGCGCUACGAUCCACAAUUUUAUUGGUCUUGUGAUUAGCAGAAAAAGUUACUCCGGGGAUAACAGCGUUAUCCGUCCUGAUAGUUCUUAUAGACGGGCGGGUUUGCGACCUCGAUGUUGGCUCUGGGUAUCCUUAGGCUUGCAGGCGGUCUUUAGGGUUGGUUCGUUCGCCCAUUAAAACCCGACGUGAUCU
Molecule: ribosomal RNA, 522 nt
Filed under: Bractechlamys vexillum
Lineage: Eukaryota; Metazoa; Mollusca; Bivalvia; Pectinida; Pectinidae
Description: partial 16S ribosomal RNA
Rfam family: Bacterial large subunit ribosomal RNA
Source: RNAcentral